RNAcentral lists this ribosomal RNA (300 nucleotides) under uncultured Oxalobacteraceae bacterium. RNAcentral's name for it is "bacterial SSU rRNA". It matches the Rfam family "Bacterial small subunit ribosomal RNA", at positions 114 to 417 of the family's 1533-position model. Lineage: Bacteria; Pseudomonadati; Pseudomonadota; Betaproteobacteria; Burkholderiales; Oxalobacteraceae. The record is from RNAcentral.
UAUAUCGGAACGUACCCAGAAGUGGGGGAUAACGUAGCGAAAGUUACGCUAAUACCGCAUACGAUCUACGGAUGAAAGUGGGGGACCUUCGGGCCUCAUGCUUUUGGAGCGGCCGAUAUCUGAUUAGCUAGUUGGUAGGGUAAAGGCCUACCAAGGCGACGAUCAGUAGCUGGUCUGAGAGGACGACCAGCCACACUGGAACUGAGACACGGUCCAGACUCCUACGGGAGGCAGCAGUGGGGAAUUUUGGACAAUGGGCGCAAGCCUGAUCCAGCAAUGCCGCGUGAGUGAAGAAGGCCU